GGCCCAGUGGUGUAGUGGUAACAUGUCCUCUUCAUUUAGUUCAUAUGGAAGGCGCCUAUUCAGAGGAAGUACCCUGUUCGAUUCGGGGCUGGGCUA
This is a non-coding RNA of Mycena galericulata, 96 nucleotides long. The record is from the annotation of a GenBank genome assembly. Lineage: Eukaryota; Fungi; Basidiomycota; Agaricomycetes; Agaricales; Mycenaceae.